RNAcentral lists this ribosomal RNA (2090 nucleotides) under Salmonella enterica. RNAcentral's name for it is "partial 23S ribosomal RNA". It matches the Rfam family "Bacterial large subunit ribosomal RNA", at positions 731 to 2802 of the family's 2925-position model. RNAcentral also lists the same sequence under 1 other name. Lineage: Bacteria; Pseudomonadati; Pseudomonadota; Gammaproteobacteria; Enterobacterales; Enterobacteriaceae. The record is from RNAcentral.
UAGCCAUGGGCAGGUUGAAGGUUGGGUAACACUAACUGGAGGACCGAACCGACUAAUGUUGAAAAAUUAGCGGAUGACCUGUGGCUGGGGGUGAAAGGCCAAUCAAACCGGGAGAUAGCUGGUUCUCCCCGAAAGCUAUUUAGGUAGCGCCUCGUGAAUUCAUCUCCGGGGGUAGAGCACUGUUUCGGCUAGGGGGCCAUCCCGGCUUACCAACCCGAUGCAAACUGCGAAUACCGGAGAAUGUUAUCACGGGAGACACACGGCGGGUGCUAACGUCCGUCGUGAAGAGGGAAACAACCCAGACCGCCAGCUAAGGUCCCAAAGUCAUGGUUAAGUGGGAAACGAUGUGGGAAGGCCCAGACAGCCAGGAUGUUGGCUUAGAAGCAGCCAUCAUUUAAAGAAAGCGUAAUAGCUCACUGGUCGAGUCGGCCUGCGCGGAAGAUGUAACGGGGCUAAACCAUGCACCGAAGCUGCGGCAGCGACACUGUGUGUUGUUGGGUAGGGGAGCGUUCUGUAAGCCUGUGAAGGUGUGUCGUGAGGCAUGCUGGAGGUAUCAGAAGUGCGAAUGCUGACAUAAGUAACGAUAAAGCGGGUGAAAAGCCCGCUCGCCGGAAGACCAAGGGUUCCUGUCCAACGUUAAUCGGGGCAGGGUGAGUCGACCCCUAAGGCGAGGCCGAAAGGCGUAGUCGAUGGGAAACGGGUUAAUAUUCCCGUACUUGGUGUUACUGCGAAGGGGGGACGGAGAAGGCUAUGUUGGCCGGGCGACGGUUGUCCCGGUUUAAGCGUGUAGGUGUGUGUUCCAGGUAAAUCCGGUUCACUUUAACACUGAGGCGUGACGACGAGGCACUACGGUGCUGAAGCAACAAAUGCCCUGCUUCCAGGAAAAGCCUCUAAGCAUCAGGUAACAUCAAAUCGUACCCCAAACCGACACAGGUGGUCAGGUAGAGAAUACCAAGGCGCUUGAGAGAACUCGGGUGAAGGAACUAGGCAAAAUGGUGCCGUAACUUCGGGAGAAGGCACGCUGACACGUAGGUGAAGUGAUUUACUCAUGGAGCUGAAGUCAGUCGAAGAUACCAGCUGGCUGCAACUGUUUAUUAAAAACACAGCACUGUGCAAACACGAAAGUGGACGUAUACGGUGUGACGCCUGCCCGGUGCCGGAAGGUUAAUUGAUGGGGUCAGCGCAAGCGAAGCUCCUGAUCGAAGCCCCGGUAAACGGCGGCCGUAACUAUAACGGUCCUAAGGUAGCGAAAUUCCUUGUCGGGUAAGUUCCGACCUGCACGAAUGGCGUAAUGAUGGCCAGGCUGUCUCCACCCGAGACUCAGUGAAAUUGAACUCGCUGUGAAGAUGCAGUGUACCCGCGGCAAGACGGAAAGACCCCGUGAACCUUUACUAUAGCUUGACACUGAACAUUGAGCCUUGAUGUGUAGGAUAGGUGGGAGGCUUUGAAGUGUGGACGCCAGUCUGCAUGGAGCCGACCUUGAAAUACCACCCUUUAAUGUUUGAUGUUCUAACGUGGACCCGUUACCCGGGUUGCGGACAGUGUCUGGUGGGUAGUUUGACUGGGGCGGUCUCCUCCUAAAGAGUAACGGAGGAGCACGAAGGUUGGCUAAUCCUGGUCGGACAUCAGGAGGUUAGUGCAAUGGCAUAAGCCAGCUUGACUGCGAGCGUGACGGCGCGAGCAGGUGCGAAAGCAGGUCAUAGUGAUCCGGUGGUUCUGAAUGGAAGGGCCAUCGCUCAACGGAUAAAAGGUACUCCGGGGAUAACAGGCUGAUACCGCCCAAGAGUUCAUAUCGACGGCGGUGUUUGGCACCUCGAUGUCGGCUCAUCACAUCCUGGGGCUGAAGUAGGUCCCAAGGGUAUGGCUGUUCGCCAUUUAAAGUGGUACGCGAGCUGGGUUUAGAACGUCGUGAGACAGUUCGGUCCCUAUCUGCCGUGGGCGCUGGAGAACUGAGGGGGGCUGCUCCUAGUACGAGAGGACCGGAGUGGACGCAUCACUGGUGUUCGGGUUGUCAUGCCAAUGGCACUGCCCGGUAGCUAAAUGCGGAAGAGAUAAGUGCUGAAAGCAUCUAAGCACGAAACUUGCCCCGA